CGGAACGUGCCCAAUCGUGGGGGAUAGCUCGGCGAAAGCCGGAUUAAUACCGCAUACGAUCUACGGAUGAAAGCAGGGGAUCGCAAGACCUUGCGCGAAUGGAGCGGCCGAUGGCAGAUUAGGUAGUUGGUGGGGUAAAGGCUCACCAAGCCGACGAUCUGUAGCUGGUCUGAGAGGACGACCAGCCACACUGGGACUGAGACACGGCCCAGACUCCUACGGGAGGCAGCAGUGGGGAAUUUUGGACAAUGGGCGCAAGCCUGAUCCAGCAAUGCCGCGUGCAGGAUGAAGGCCUUCGGGUUGUAAACUGCUUUUGUACGGAACGAAAAAGCUCUGGUUAAUACCUGGGGCUCAUGACGGUACCGUAAGAAUAAGCACCGGCUAACUACGUGCCAGCAGCCGCGGUAAUACGUAGGGUGCGAGCGUUAAUCGGAAUUACUGGGCGUAAAGCGUGCGCAGGCGGUGAUGUAAGACAGUUGUGAAAUCCCCGGGCUCAACCUGGGAACUGCAUCUGUGACUGCAUCGCUGGAGUGCGGCAGAGGGGGAUGGAAUUCCGCGU
RNAcentral lists this ribosomal RNA (559 nucleotides) under uncultured bacterium. RNAcentral's name for it is "bacterial SSU rRNA". It matches the Rfam family "Bacterial small subunit ribosomal RNA", at positions 119 to 674 of the family's 1533-position model. The record is from RNAcentral.